AACAGGAUUAGAUACCCUGGUAGUCCACGCCGUAAACGAUGUCGACUUGGAGGCUGUUCCCUUGAGGAGUGGCUUCCGGAGCUAACGCGUUAAGUCGACCGCCUGGGGAGUACGGCCGCAAGGUUAAAACUCAAAUGAAUUGACGGGGGCCCGCACAAGCGGUGGAGCAUGUGGUUUAAUUCGAUGCAACGCGAAGAACCUUACCUACUCUUGACAUCCAGAGAAUUUAGCAGAGAUGCUUUAGUGCCUUCGGGAACUCUGAGACAGGUGCUGCAUGGCUGUCGUCAGCUCGUGUUGUGAAAUGUUGGGUUAAGUCCCGCAACGAGCGCAACCCUUAUCCUUUGUUGCCAGCGCGUAAUGGCGGGAACUCAAAGGAGACUGCCGGUGAUAAACCGGAGGAAGGUGGGGAUGACGUCAAGUCAUCAUGGCCCUUACGAGUAGGGCUACACACGUGCUACAAUGGCGCAUACAAAGAGAAGCGACCUCGCGAGAGCAAGCGGACCUCAUAAAGUGCGUCGUAGUCCGGAUUGGAGUCUGCAACUCGACUCCAUGAAGUCGGAAUCGCUAGUAAUCGUAAAUCAGAAUGUUACGGUGAAUACGUUCCCGGGCCUUGUACACACCGCCCGUCACACCAUGGGAGUGGGUUGCAAAAGAAGUAGAUAGCUUAACCGCAAGGAGGGCGCUUACCACUUUGUGAUUCAUGACUGGGGUGAAGUCGUAACAAGGUAACCGUAGGGGAACCUGCGGCUGGAUCACCUCCUU
RNAcentral lists this ribosomal RNA (762 nucleotides) under uncultured bacterium. RNAcentral's name for it is "bacterial SSU rRNA". It matches the Rfam family "Bacterial small subunit ribosomal RNA", at positions 771 to 1532 of the family's 1533-position model. The record is from RNAcentral.